CGCAUCUGUGCAUGCAGCAUAUCAAUAAGCGGAGGAAAAGAAACUAACAAGGAUUCCCCUAGUAACGGCGAGUGAAGCGGGAAGAGCUCAAAUUUGAAAUCUUAAAGGGUUUCCCUUUACGAAUUGUAGUUUAAAGAGGUGUUUUCUGUUGAGGUUUUGGUAAAAGUUCUUUGGAAUAGGACAUCAUAGAGGGUGAGAAUCCCGUAUUUGACCUUUACUUUCAACUUUGUGAUACACUUUCAAAGAGUCGGAUUGUUUGGGAAUGCAGUCCAAAAUGGGUGGUAAAUUUCAUCUAAAGCUAAAUAUUGGCGAGAGACCGAUAGCGAACAAGUACCGUGAGGGAAAGAUGAAAAGAACUUUGAAAAGAGAGUUAAACAGUACGUGAAAUUGUCAAAAGGGAAGCGUUUGACACCAGUGUUGUUUUUCUGAAAAUCAAUUAAAGAACUGUUUAUGCUAAGUUGUUUAGACUUUAUCAGCUAACUGUUUAGUUUUGAGCUUUUCUUUAAUGCACUUUUCAGUUAACAAGUCAACAUCAAUUUCUUUUGCUGUAAAAAAGCUUGAGGAAGGUGGCUUGAGAUUCGUCUUAAGUGUUUAUAGCCUCUUGCCUAUGCAGUCGGAGAGAUUGAGGUCUGCAGCGUAGAUCCUUCGGGGCUAAAUGCAUUUGUGCUAAGUUAUAGCAUUUCAUAGACAACUUGUUGACUAUGAUUUGUCUCGUAGCUUACUCGCUUAUGUUAUUUUACCUACGCUUAGGAUGUUGACAGCAGUAUAGACUGU
RNAcentral lists this ribosomal RNA (774 nucleotides) under uncultured Neocallimastigales. RNAcentral's name for it is "partial large subunit ribosomal RNA". It matches the Rfam family "Eukaryotic large subunit ribosomal RNA", at positions 26 to 637 of the family's 3401-position model. The record is from RNAcentral. Lineage: Eukaryota; Fungi; Neocallimastigomycota; Neocallimastigomycetes; Neocallimastigales.